Molecule: long non-coding RNA, 2169 nt
Filed under: Brachypodium distachyon (stiff brome)
Lineage: Eukaryota; Viridiplantae; Streptophyta; Magnoliopsida; Poales; Poaceae
Description: long non-coding RNA (BDIS_LNC001356)
Source: RNAcentral
AAAUUUGUUACAACAUAAUACGAACAGUUCUAAAAUAAAUCAAUCUUUUUAGUAUGAAAUCCAAAAUUCUUCGUAUCCAUCUCAGUAUGGAAAUCAAUCCGAACCCAAACAAAAAAUCUCGGUAUCAAUCUCAGUAUGGAAAUCAAUCCAAUCGAAAAAUCAAUGUCCAGACUUUACCUCCACCGGCUCGUGUUUGAUACACUUUCCGUUGUUCCGUAGCAUCGCACGGGUUCUUUUGCUAGUUCUAAGUAACACAUGAUAAAUAGAAUGGCAGGCCCAGAGUGUGGUGCAGUGCUGGGAGGAGAUGAGAGCGAUGACGUCAAUAAAACGAGGAACGAUCGCAUACGCUCUCUCGUCGGGAGAAAACCCGUGUGAAUGGGAUCGAACCGUGAGUUCGUGAGGAGCCACGCAUCGCUUUUGGAUCACUUUGGUCAAGCAGUCCACCGGGAAGUGAAGAACGGAUAACCCAGCGGGCAGCGGCGAACAAAAAUGAGCAGCUGUGUCCACUUGUCCAGUACACGGGCACGCAGCUAGUAACUUAGCACCGAACCAACGUACUGCGCUUGGUGAUCGAUCGAUCUAUAUUCUGCUGUGUAGUAACUUAUCUGCAAGUAUGAACUACUGGAAAAUCUCAUCCUAUCAGUCGUUGAUUGUUGUAUCAUAUCAUAUGCAUGUGACGUGAUACGAUGUCGUGUGAGAUUAUUUAUGAAGAGCGUUUGGCGUUGCGUACAACGUCCACGUGAAGCCCCUCGCACGUACCAGUAGGCGGGCGCAUCCAGGUAAAACCGUGUCAUCAAUCAGUAUCAGACAAGCCAUCCAUGAUAUUCGAGACGGGGAUAGGGUAGUUGCACACAAAAAUGAAGGAGAGAAACAAAUAAAGGGGAAUCCCAUGGUUUCAGAUAAGAUCGGCCUGAAAGCGACCAUAUCUCCGUGGAUCUAAUUAGCUGUUAGCCGAGGAUCUAUUACACGUGCCCACUCAUAGUCGCUGGGCCGGAUUCAGUUGGUUUCGAUAUCUCUUUUCCCCAAGAACUUCCUGAUCCAUUCAUUGUUCUUGUUCGGACGAACAUGCACAACAAAAAGGAAAGAAACAGACUAACAGAGAACGAUGUCCUCUACAUAUUCGUGAUGGCCGAUAUGUAAGCCCCAAUGGCGAGGAAAUUCCAAUACCGAAUCCAUAAACACGGGCGGUGAAAACUGAUCGAAAGAGAAGUCGAAUCACUUAUGGGUUUGUACGGCGAGAGAAGGCAACAGCAAACGAAAAUUAGCUCGGUCGAUGCAACGAAGAAUUACAAGCUAGUACUACAGCACACAAGCAGACACAGACACCUCCAUCGAUCGAUCCCCAUUAUUUUUUCUACACCACCAAGCGAGUCUCCAAGGUCUCCAACAAUGAGACGACAUCCCGCCCGUCAGUCCAGCGUAAGCACAAACUGACCAUAUUAUAUACGGAGUAUAUCUCCGUCGAAGGUACCGCAGCUACGACGCAGCAUGCUCGAGCGAGCUAGCAGCAGCAGCCGCCGCCGCCGCCUCCGUUGUUGUCGCCGUUUCCUCCUCCCCAGCCACCGCCGUAGCCGUUUCCUCCUCCGCGGCGGCCGCCGCUGCCGCUGCCGCCGCCAGAGCUUGUGGAGGUCUUCUUGGUGUCUCCGGCGCCGGUCCAGUCGGAGAUGAUGGUCUUGAUGAUGUUGCCCCUCUUGGGGUUCCUGUUCCCGUCCGUCUUCUUCGUCUGUCCGUCGCCCUUCCCGUCCAUGCCGCCGAUCCCGAAACGCGCACCCUCGCACUCACGGAGAAGCUAGCACGCGAGCGCAGGCAAAGGGGAGUGAGUGUGUGACAGUGUGAGCUUGCCAGCUUUGGAUGGGAGAUAGCCUUAUUAUAGGCUUUGAUGGCCUCCUAGAAAGCACUAGAUUAUUCUAGCAAGGUAACUAGCCCCGAUCGAUGACGACUAGUCGACGAGAGGUUUUGCACCAGCACCCCCAGCCGCCAAGGCCGCUGAGCCGCAGCGGUACUCCAGUAGCAUUAUUCCAUAAUGCAAGGGGGUUUAUUAGCAAGUGCUGUUGUGGCCACUGAAACACUCCACUAUCUGAGGCUCGAGUCGUGCGUGCGUAUUGGAUAGGACGGGACAAGUGGAUCGAGUGUCUCGCCUCGGGCUUUCCGUCCCUCGGUUGAAUCAUC